This 253-nucleotide ribosomal RNA is filed under the name uncultured bacterium. Its description in RNAcentral is "partial 16S ribosomal RNA". It matches the Rfam family "Bacterial small subunit ribosomal RNA", at positions 524 to 776 of the family's 1533-position model. The record is from RNAcentral.
UACAGAGGGGCCGAGCGUUAGGCGGAAUCACUGGGCUUAAAGCGUGUGUAGGCGGACUUCUAAGUACCUUGUGAAAUCCCACGGCUCACCCGUGGAACUGCUGGGUAUACUGGUCGUCUUGAGCCACCUAGGGGCGAGCGGAACAAAUGGUGGAGCGGUGAAAUGCGUAGAUAUCAUUUGGAACGCCAACGGUGAAAACAGCUCGCUGGGGGUGUGCUGACGCUGAGACACGAAAGCCAGGGUAGCGAACGGG